AUGGUUUUGUGCACACCUGCCCACACAAACAAACAUACAUGAACUACAACAAAGUUUAAAACCAUUUAUUUAAGCGGACAUGGUUGGUGCACCAACUGUGUCACUGGAAAAAGAUAAAUGGAUUACCGACUUGUUGGAGAGUUUGUGACUUGAGAAAUGGUGCUGGCCACCUCCUAUGUUCAUUGUUCUGGCUUGGGGAAGUCUUGAGUCUUGUCAUGUCAGGGCAGCAGACGGUGGCAUUGGAAAGCAUGAGGUGCCAUGUGUUGCUCAACUCAGUCCAAGCCUGGCAUGAGGCCCACUCCUUCCUUUGCUCUGGUGACUCGAGUCGGGGAGAAUGAGAGCCUGGGGGCUGUUUGUGUUUAUGCGCGUGUGAGCAGAUGUGUGUAUGUGUUUAACUCUCAUUCACCCUUUAAGCAUCCAAUGGCAGCACCUUUGCAAGGGCACAAAAGCCUUGUGUGUACAUUUGUAUAUGUGUGCCUUGGUGUGUGUGUGUGUGUGUGUGUGUGUGUGUGUGUGUGUGUGUGUGUGUGUGUGUGUGUGUGUGUGUUUGUAUGUGUGUGUGUGUGUGUGUGUGUGAACAUGUGACAAGCC
Clupea harengus (Atlantic herring) is the source of this 591-nucleotide long non-coding RNA. The record is from Ensembl. Lineage: Eukaryota; Metazoa; Chordata; Actinopteri; Clupeiformes; Clupeidae.